RNAcentral lists this transfer RNA (77 nucleotides) under Bifidobacterium callitrichidarum. Its description in RNAcentral is "tRNA-Lys". It matches the Rfam family "tRNA". Rfam says of the family: Transfer RNA (tRNA) molecules are approximately 80 nucleotides in length. Their secondary structure includes four short double-helical elements and three loops (D, anti-codon, and T loops). Lineage: Bacteria; Bacillati; Actinomycetota; Actinomycetes; Bifidobacteriales; Bifidobacteriaceae. The record is from RNAcentral.
GCCCCUAUAGUUAAGCGGUCCAUAACAGCGGACUUUUAAUCCGCGUGACCCCGGUCCGAAUCCGGGUGGGGGCACAA